CCUCUUUAUUUGUGGCACAGUCACACUUGCUUUUUAUGCCAAUCUGGGCACACUCGGCUUUGUUUGCAUCAGGCUUUAUUGUGCUGGCAAAUAGCAAAGGAAAAAUUCUCUGGCUCUGCUGCUCAGUUCACUUGUUUCACGGCUUCGUGUUCUUUUUUAUAUGCCACUGGCCCUCUGCUCUGUGAACCCCCCGAAUCUCCAGCUUUCGCAAAUACUUUGGCACUCUGUCUUAAUUGCUUAAAAAUUACUGACAUGGAAAAUGAACUCGGAAAAUGUUAACCACUUUCCCCCCCAUUUGCCCCCUCGCAAAUGUCCCAGCAUCGUAUUGUCAAAGAUUUGGCUGUCCUAACGGCAAAUACUUGCAAAUAUUAUUGUAGUCGAAUGUCGGCAACUAUUUAUCAUCCGGUUUUGGGCGAGCAGAGUUUGUGGACCAUUUGACAAACUUAAUUUAUUAAUGCACCGCUCCCAUCUCGUUUCGUCGUCCUGCUGUAAAUGCCUUCUGCCUUGCUUAAAAGCACAUUAAUUUUCAUUUCAUUUGGUGAUAAAACAAAGACUUUCCAUUUUAAAUAUCUAGUGACAACUAACAAAUAAAAUGUGCCCUAAA
Long non-coding RNA from Drosophila yakuba, 604 nucleotides. RefSeq lists it as uncharacterized. The transcript has 2 exons. The record is from RefSeq and is a predicted model, not a curated record. NCBI's taxonomy places the organism in Eukaryota, Metazoa, Arthropoda, Insecta, Diptera, Drosophilidae.